CUAGAUGCUGACAAGCGGCGGACGGGUGAGUAAUGCAUAGGAAUCUGCCCGGUAGUGGGGGAUAACCUGGGGAAACCCAGGCUAAUACCGCAUACGUCCUACGGGAGAAAGGGGGCUCCGGCUCCCGCUAUUGGAUGAGCCUAUGUCGGAUUAGCUAGUUGGUGAGGUAAUGGCUCACCAAGGCGACGAUCCGUAGCUGGUCUGAGAGGAUGAUCAGCCACAUCGGGACUGAGACACGGCCCGAACUCCUACGGGAGGCAGCAGUGGGGAAUAUUGGACAAUGGGCGAAAGCCUGAUCCAGCCAUGCCGCGUGUGUGAAGAAGGCCCUCGGGUUGUAAAGCACUUUCAGUGAGGAAGAACGCCUAGUGGUUAAUACCCAUCAGGAAAGACAUCACUCGCAGAAGAAGCACCGGCUAACUCCGUGCCAGCAGCCGCGGUAAUACGGAGGGUGCAAGCGUUAAUCGGAAUUACUGGGCGUAAAGCGCGCGUAGGUGGCUUGAUAAGCCGGUUGUGAAAGCCCCGGGCUCAACCUGGGAACGGCAUCCGGAACUGUCAAGCUAGAGUGCAGGAGAGGAAGGUAGAAUUCCCGGUGUAGCGGUGAAAUGCGUAGAGAUCGGGAGGAAUACCAGUGGCGAAGGCGGCCAGCUGGACUGACACUGACACUGAGGUGCGAAAGCGUGGGUAGCAAACAGGAUUAGAUACCCUGGUAGUCCACGCCGUAAACGAUGUCGACCAGCCGUUGGGUGCCUAGCGCACUUUGUGGCGAAGUUAACGCGAUAAGUCGACCGCCUGGGGAGUACGGCCGCGAGGUUAAUACUCAAAUGAAUUGACGAUGGCGCGCACAAGCGGUGGAGCAUGUGGUGUAAAUCGAUGCAACGCGAAGAACCUUACCUACUCUUGACAUCC
Molecule: ribosomal RNA, 906 nt
Filed under: Vreelandella andesensis
Lineage: Bacteria; Pseudomonadati; Pseudomonadota; Gammaproteobacteria; Oceanospirillales; Halomonadaceae
Description: bacterial SSU rRNA
Rfam family: Bacterial small subunit ribosomal RNA
Source: RNAcentral